This 431-nucleotide ribosomal RNA is filed under the name uncultured bacterium. RNAcentral describes it as "partial 16S ribosomal RNA". It matches the Rfam family "Bacterial small subunit ribosomal RNA", at positions 29 to 507 of the family's 1533-position model. The record is from RNAcentral.
AACGAACGCUGGCGGCAGGCCUAACACAUGCCAGUCGAGCGCCCCGCAAGGGGAGCGGCGGGCGGGUGAGUACCGCGUGGGGAUAUGCCCUUUGCUACGGAAUAGUCUCGGGAAACUGGGGGUAAUACCGUAUACGCCCUAUGGGGGAAAGAUUUAUCGGCGAAGGAUUGGCCCGCGUUGGAUCAGGCAGUCGGUGGGGUAAUGGCCUACCAAGCCGACGAUCCAUACCUGGGUUGAGAGGCUGAUCAGCCACACUGGGACUGAGACACGGCCCAGACUCCUACGUGAGGCAGCAGUGGGGAAUCUUAGACAAUGGGGGCAACCCUGAUCGAGCCAUGCCGGGUGAGUGAUGAAGGCCGUGGGGUUGUAAAGCUCGUUCAGCUGGGAAGAUAAUGACGGUACCAGCAGAAGAAGCCCCGGCUAACUCCGUG